CUAUAGCUGGCCCGCUCCAUAGCAAGCUGCACUACUGGUUGUCUAGGUUAAAACAACUAUAUCUGGCCCGCUCCAUAGCAAGCUGCACUAUCGGCUGUCUAGGUUAAAACAACUAUAUCUGGCCCGCUCCAUAGCAAGCUGCACUAUCGGCUGUCUAGGUUAAAACAACUAUAUCUGGCCCGCUCCAUAGCAAGCUGCACUACUGGUUGUCUAGGUUAAAAUAACUAUAGCUGGCCUGCUCCAUAGCAAGCUGCACUACUGGUUGUCUAGGUUAAAACAACUAUAGCUGGCCCGCUCCAUAGCAAGCUGCACUACUGGUUGUCUAGGUUAAAACAACUAUAGCUGGCCCGCUCCAUAGCAAGCUGCACUACUGGUUGUCUAUGUUAAAACAACUAUAGCUGGCCCGCUCCAUAGCAAGUUGCUCUGUCGGCUGUCUAGGUUAAAAUAACUAUAUCUGGCCCGCUCCAUAGCAAGCUGCACUACUGGUUGUCUAGGUUAAAACAACUAUAGCUGGCCCGCUCCAUAGCAAGCUGCACUACUGGUUGUCUAGGUUAAACAACUAUAUCUGGCCCGCUCCAUAGCAAGCUGCACUACUGGUUGUCUAUGUUAAACAACUAUAUCUGGCCCCCUCCAUAGCAAG
This is a long non-coding RNA of Oncorhynchus tshawytscha (Chinook salmon), 640 nucleotides long. The record is from Ensembl. Lineage: Eukaryota; Metazoa; Chordata; Actinopteri; Salmoniformes; Salmonidae.